CUUCCAUAAGGGAAGGUUCUCUACCUGGGGUUUCUUCCUUUUGGAGUGUUUAGUAAGGCCCUGAUCCUUAGGAUAGAAGAAAGACCUUUGGAAUACAGCAUGUACGCAUUUGCUCCCACCUUUCCCUCCCAAGUUUUUCCAUUAUCAGCAGAGUAAUCGCUGACCCAACACGUUAACUCAAGAAGCACCAAAGAGCAAAAAUCUUACUGGAGAAGGAUAAUUGCAACGACUCUCCAAGGGCUCACUGUUCUUCCACCCAUCAGUAGAUGCAGUGCUGAGGAGAUAAGGCUUAUAUUACAGAACAGCUAAUCAAUGGAAACAUUGUGCUGGCAUCUGUGGGUAAAAUCUAGACCUUGAUGUUGACACCUUUCAAAUAUUUAU
This 381-nucleotide long non-coding RNA is filed under the name Gallus gallus (chicken). RNAcentral's name for it is "lncRNA (ENSGALG00010018669.1)". The record is from RNAcentral. Lineage: Eukaryota; Metazoa; Chordata; Aves; Galliformes; Phasianidae.